Cyprinus carpio carpio is the source of this 1716-nucleotide long non-coding RNA. The record is from Ensembl. NCBI's taxonomy places the organism in Eukaryota, Metazoa, Chordata, Actinopteri, Cypriniformes, Cyprinidae.
GUGAAAUUGGUCUCAAAAUAUUCCUUGGCUUAUGCCGACAACAUAGAUACCAAAUAUGCCAGAGUUCGCUGAACUUCCUGUCCGCCAUUUUGAUUUAUGUUGAAAGCCUACUUUAUCGAACUCCUCAUCAACCGUUGGUCCGAUUUUCACCAAAAUUGAAUCAGAUGAUCUUCAGACUGUGCUGACAAAAUGUUAUGGAUUUUGUAUUGAUAGACAAAACCGUUUUCGCAUACCACAGUGACGAAUUACAAGCAUGAUGCCAAAAUGACACUUCAGCCUGUAUCUCUGCAAUGCUUUGGCAUACUGACACCAAACUUUGUGUGUGCCAUUGUCACCUCACACAGAACACACCAAAAUGAUUUGAUUACAGCGCCACCUGUUGGUCAAAAGUGAUAAGUCAUUUAAUCAUAAUACUAGUGCUUGUAUUUAUGAUUUUUCUGCCAUUUCAAUUACAAUCAUCCUAAAAUUGCUGUAAUUGCUCAUUGUUGCAUUUGGUGUGAUGCUCCAUGCCAUGCUUAGCUCCUCAAUUUGCCGCUGGAGUGCUUGGCCCCGCAAUUGCUGCUUGCAGCUAUAUUUAGGGGCCAAGCACCGAAGGUGCGUAGGCACCUAUUGUAUCCGUUGGCGUUAUUCUUCUUCUUCUUCUUCUUCUUCUUCUUCUUCUUCUUCUUCCGCCGCAAGUCUAUGGCAGCCCAUAGAACCGAUUGCGGGAAAGUUGUAUAAUUUGGCACACUGAUAGAGGACAGUCCCAGCAUUAACUAUAGCUAAUUUGAAGUCUCUAUCUUCUACUCUCUAGCGCCACCACUAUUCCAAAAUUUCAAUAUUUUUAUGCUAAUAACUUUUGAACCGUAAGCCACAAAAUGAAAAUUCUUUUUUCCUCUGAAUCCUUGGCUCAGGCCAAGUCGAAUGAACCCCGAAAUUCAAAAAUCGCAAGGUUUAGUUUUUUCGCUAUUUUCAAUUGUUCGAAAAACCUACUUUUACGAACUCGUCCUAGACGGUUAGUCCGAUUUUCACGAAAAUUGGCUCAGAUCAUCUUCAGACGAUGCCGGCAAAAAGUUAUGGAAUUCAAGUUGAUUUGUCCAACCGUUCUCGAAUACCACGCGAACAAAUUCUACGAAAAGCACGCAAAAAUGCUUGUGAGGCUAUAACUCCGCAACGGUUUGGCGUAUUGAGACCAAACUUGGUGUGUGUUGUAACAAGCAUGACCUGAGAUUACCUGCAGUGUUUCGACGCAGCGCCACCUAGUGGUUAGGAGAUAUGAAAAAUGCAUAUUUUUGCUUAUAACUUCUGAAUGGUUUGGCAAAAAAUAAUAAAACUGGUCUCAUUAGAUUCGGUCGGUCAUGUCGAGUCGAAGGAUAUCCAAUUUUCCCGUGUCGGCCAUUUUAGGUGUCGGCCAUUUUGAAUUACAUUUCAAAAUGCUGUAUUUUUUGAACGCAUUAUCGUAUCAUUACAAAAAUAAUUACAAAAAUGUUUGGCUCCAUGCCCUGAAGGUACUCAAAAAGUUUGGGGGCAGCGCCACCUUGUGGUCAAAAGUUAAAAUGAAUUAUCUAAAAAAUGCUAAUAACUUUUAAAUAAAUUAGACUAUUGAAAUGAAAAUGGUCUCCAUAUAUUCUUUGUGUCAUGCCGAGAACAUCGAUACCAAUUAUUCCAAAAUUGGCAAUACUUCCUGUCCGCCAUUUUGAUUAAAGUUGAAAACCUACUUUUUCGAACUCCUCCUAG